GAUAACAUAGAUUUUCUGGUGAGUGGUCACCAAAAUAAACUUAUAGGACUUUACCACACAGAAUGCAGUGUAGAAUCAUACAAUAACCGCAUACGCACCAGAACUCUAGUACAAACGGGAGAGAAAUCCAAGCCAAAUUAAGUAGCUCUCAUCAUAAUGAAAACUAGCAGCCUGGCAAUCAGCGGGGCUACACCUGUUAGGGGGAAAAUCUGAUACUCAAAAGAUGAGGACCACUCAGCCAGCAGUUGGUCAAACAUAAAAUGCAAGCGUGUGUGGGAAAAGAGAAAGGGCUUUCUAGAAACCAAAUUCCUAGGCACACCUGCUCUCCCUAAAUGUCUAUAACUCUGCCUCUGGAUCUGAAUGAAAUGAUAAAAUUAUGACCCUUACAAGUCUUUAGGGAAAGGAUUUGGUUCAGAACCCAAACUC
This 426-nucleotide long non-coding RNA is filed under the name Bos taurus (domestic cattle). Its description in RNAcentral is "long non-coding RNA NONBTAT010989". The record is from RNAcentral. Lineage: Eukaryota; Metazoa; Chordata; Mammalia; Artiodactyla; Bovidae.